Molecule: signal recognition particle RNA, 303 nt
Filed under: Saimiri boliviensis boliviensis (Bolivian squirrel monkey)
Lineage: Eukaryota; Metazoa; Chordata; Mammalia; Primates; Cebidae
Description: Metazoan signal recognition particle RNA (ENSSBOG00000002579.1)
Rfam family: Metazoan signal recognition particle RNA
About the family: The signal recognition particle (SRP) is a universally conserved ribonucleoprotein.
Source: RNAcentral
ACUGGGUGCAGUGGCAUGUGCCUAUAGUCCCAGCUACUCAGGAGGCUGAGGUGGGAGGAUCACUUGAGCCCAGGAGUUCUGGGCUGUAGUGCGCUAUGCUGAUUGGGUGUCUGCACUAAGUUUGGCAUCCAUCUGGUGACCUCCUGGGAGUGGCGGGGGGACCACCAGGUUGCCUAAGGAGGGGUGAACUGUCCCAGGUCAGAAACAGAGCAGGUCAAAACUCCCAUGCUGAUCAGUAAUGGGAUUGUGCCUGUGAAAAGCCACUGCAUUCCAACCUGGGCAACAUAGUGAGACCCCAUCUCA